This 402-nucleotide ribosomal RNA is filed under the name uncultured bacterium. RNAcentral's name for it is "bacterial SSU rRNA". It matches the Rfam family "Bacterial small subunit ribosomal RNA", at positions 355 to 774 of the family's 1533-position model. The record is from RNAcentral.
UGGGGAAUCUUGCACAAUGGAGGAAACUCUGAUGCAGCGACGCCGCGUGAGCGAUGAAGCCCUUCGGGGUGUAAAGCUCUUUCGACGGGAACGAUAAUGACGGUACCCGGAGAAGAAGCUGCGGCUAACUACGUGCCAGCAGCCGCGGUAAUACGUAGGCAGCAAACGUUGUUCGGAAUUACUGGGCGUAAAGAGUGUGUAGGCGGUUUUGCAAGUUUGGUGUGAAAUCUCCCGGCUUAACUGGGAGGGUGCGCCGAAAACUGCAAGGCUCGAGUACUGGAGAGGAAAGCGGAAUUCCUGGUGUAGCGGUGAAAUGCGUAGAUAUCAGGAGGAACACCGGUGGUGUAGACGGCUUUCUGAACAGUCACUGACGCUGAGACACGAAAGCGUGGGGAGCAAACA